RNAcentral lists this ribosomal RNA (427 nucleotides) under uncultured bacterium. RNAcentral describes it as "bacterial SSU rRNA". It matches the Rfam family "Bacterial small subunit ribosomal RNA", at positions 355 to 774 of the family's 1533-position model. The record is from RNAcentral.
UGGGGAAUUUUGGACAAUGGGCGCAAGCCUGAUCCAGCCAUGCCGCGUGAGUGAAGAAGGCCUUCGGGUUGUAAAGCUCUUUUGUCCGGAAAGAAAAGCUUCGGGUUAAUACCCCGGGGUUCUGACGGUACCGGAAGAAUAAGCACCGGCUAACUUCGUGCCAGCAGCCGCGGUAAUACGAAGGGUGCAAGCGUUACUCGGAAUUACUGGGCGUAAAGCGUGCGUAGGUGGUUGUUUAAGUCUGAUGUGAAAGCCCUGGGCUCAACCUGGGAAUGGCAUUGGAAACUGGGCAGCUAGAGUGCGGUAGAGGGUAGUGGAAUUCCCGGUGUAGCAGUGAAAUGCGUAGAGAUCGGGAGGAACAUCUGUGGCGAAGGCGACUGCCUGGACCAGCACUGACACUGAGGCACGAAAGCGUGGGGAGCAAACA